UGUUAAAAAUUUCAUUUAUUUUUACUGUUAACAAAUAGUGUAGCCGAUGGAAUAACCAAACAGUUAGACGUCAUGCAACAUGUACCUUAUGCUGACGUACAAGGACCCUUUUUUUACAGUAAAAAUGGAUAGAAUUUAUAGCA
Non-coding RNA from Gossypium hirsutum (cotton), 143 nucleotides. The record is from Rfam. Lineage: Eukaryota; Viridiplantae; Streptophyta; Magnoliopsida; Malvales; Malvaceae.